This 435-nucleotide ribosomal RNA is filed under the name uncultured Ruminococcus sp. RNAcentral describes it as "bacterial SSU rRNA". It matches the Rfam family "Bacterial small subunit ribosomal RNA", at positions 341 to 792 of the family's 1533-position model. Lineage: Bacteria; Bacillati; Bacillota; Clostridia; Eubacteriales; Oscillospiraceae. The record is from RNAcentral.
ACGGGAGGCAGCAGUGGGGGAUAUUGCGCAAUGGGGGCAACCCUGACGCAGCAACGCCGCGUGAAGGAUGAAGGUUUUCGGAUUGUAAACUUCUUUUAUUAAGGACGAAAAAUGACGGUACUUAAUGAAUAAGCUCCGGCUAACUACGUGCCAGCAGCCGCGGUAAUACGUAGGGAGCAAGCGUUGUCCGGAUUUACUGGGUGUAAAGGGUGCGUAGGCGGCUUUGCAAGUCAGAUGUGAAAUCUAUGGGCUCAACCCAUAAACUGCAUUUGAAACUGUAGAGCUUGAGUGAAGUAGAGGCAGGCGGAAUUCCCCGUGUAGCGGUGAAAUGCGUAGAGAUGGGGAGGAACACCAGUGGCGAAGGCGGCCUGCUGGGCUUUAACUGACGCUGAGGCACGAAAGCGUGGGUAGCAAACAGGAUUAGAUACCCUGGUA